AGGUGGGGAUGACGUCAAAUCAUCAUGCCCCUUAUGACCUGGGCUACACACGUGCUACAAUGGGAAGUACAACGAGUCGCGAAGUCGCGAGGCUAAGCUAAUCUCUUAAAGCUUCUCUCAGUUCGGAUUGCAGGCUGCAACUCGCCUGCAUGAAGCCGGAAUCGCUAGUAAUCGCGGAUCAGCACGCCGCGGUGAAUACGUUCCCGGGCCUUGUACACACCGCCCGUCACACCACGAGAGUUUGUAACACCCGAAGUCGGUGAGGUAACCUUUUGGAGCCAGCCGCCUAAGGUGGGAUAGAUGAUUGGGGUGAAGUCGUAACAAGGUAGCCGUAUCGGAAGGUGCGGCUGGAUCACCUCCUUUCUAAGGAA
RNAcentral lists this ribosomal RNA (371 nucleotides) under Enterococcus faecium. Its description in RNAcentral is "bacterial SSU rRNA". It matches the Rfam family "Bacterial small subunit ribosomal RNA", at positions 1171 to 1533 of the family's 1533-position model. Lineage: Bacteria; Bacillati; Bacillota; Bacilli; Lactobacillales; Enterococcaceae. The record is from RNAcentral.